This 389-nucleotide ribosomal RNA is filed under the name Pyramimonadales sp. RNAcentral's name for it is "partial small subunit ribosomal RNA". It matches the Rfam family "Eukaryotic small subunit ribosomal RNA", at positions 582 to 975 of the family's 1831-position model. Lineage: Eukaryota; Viridiplantae; Chlorophyta; Pyramimonadophyceae; Pyramimonadales. The record is from RNAcentral.
AUUCCAGCUCCAAUAGCGUAUAUUUAAGUUGUUGCAGUUAAAAAGCUCGUAGUUGGAUUUCGGGUGAGGAUGACCGGUCUGCCGUUGCGGUACGCACUGGACGUUUUCAUCUUGUUGUCGGGGACGCGCUUCUGGGCUUCACUGUUCGGGACGCGGAGUCGGCGCUGUUACUUUGAAAAAAUUAGAGUGUUCAAAGCAGGCAAUCGCUCUGAAUACAUUAGCAUGGAAUAACGCUAUAGGACUCUGGUCCUAUUGUGUUGGUCUUCGGGACCGGAGUAAUGAUUAAGAGGGACAGUUGGGGGCAUUCGUAUUUCAUUGUCAGAGGUGAAAUUCUUGGAUUUAUGAAAGACGGACUUCUGCGAAAGCAUUUGCCAAGGAUGUUUUCAUCA